AUUUGAUGGAGCUCUCCAACAAGUCUGCAACAGUGGUGGGGAGUGGAGCUUGUCAUCAGAUGCCACUGCUCAGGAAGGCCUAGAGUUGUACUUGCUUAGUAGAGGAAGUUGCACCAAAGAAGACAGACAUUCUGUUUGUUCUAAGAACAAAAUGAGGAAGAUGUGACUGCAGCUACAACCAUCUCCUUCAAACUGUUCCUCAGCUAGGCUGCUUCUGCAUUCAGUCUGGGGACUGGACAGCUGUUGUUCUUCCUGCAGUUGUAAGGA
This is a long non-coding RNA of Pogoniulus pusillus (Red-fronted tinkerbird), 267 nucleotides long. RefSeq lists it as uncharacterized. The record is from RefSeq and is a predicted model, not a curated record. Lineage: Eukaryota; Metazoa; Chordata; Aves; Piciformes; Lybiidae. The transcript is spliced from 3 exons.